GUUGAACCUGCUGGAGGAUCAUNA
Molecule: ribosomal RNA, 24 nt
Filed under: Inocybe griseovelata
Lineage: Eukaryota; Fungi; Basidiomycota; Agaricomycetes; Agaricales; Inocybaceae
Description: partial 18S ribosomal RNA
Source: RNAcentral